AAUUUCUGAUCUAUUAUCUGUUAGUGAAGGAAAUAAUUUACAGAGGUGAGAUAGAUAGAGACGUAUACAUAUAUCUUCCCAGUUGUCACAGUUUAAUAUUUUGCUUUUGGCCUCACUGUACUGCCUAGUUUCUUUGUGUCCCACAGUGCAGACUUCAGACAGAAGAAAGACCCUUUCCAAGUGUGCUAAGGCUGGACUACUGUGGUUAAAAUGGUUUCCCCUGGAUCUCUCUCACAGCUUGCAGUUGUCUGAUUUCAAUCAGUGGCAGUUCUCUCCACAUGUCUAGCCAUCAAUCUUCUCCUGCUCCUGGAUGAGUGUGUCACAGCAUGGUGUAUGUUCCAGUCAAAAAAUAGACUGCACCACAGCUCUCCCUCCUCGGUCAUUGAUAAGUAUCCCUUUGAUAUUUUUAUUAAAAAAGAAAGAAAACACUUAUGAUAUAUGUUUCUGGGGAAAAAAAAAAAAAAAAAAGACAAAAAAAAGAGAAAAAAAAAAAGAGGAGCCUGAAGCACACUGAAGCUCUGGAGGCUGUAGGAACAGCAGGAAGCAGGGAGGGAGUUUGGGGUAAUGUGGUUAUGAUGAAGCUAUUGCUUGGUAAGUUACAGUUUGUGUAAGAGUUGAGGAUUUCAAUCUUUAUUGCUUUCCACCCUGCACUCCUCCAGCAAUAAAAGUUUUCUGGAUGUUGUGUGAGUCUCCAGUAUUCAUCUACUUCAUACCACUUCCUCCCCUCAUGGUGAAUAAUUAUUGCUAUUUGAAAACAGAGCUGCUUAGAGAUGGAGGAGGUUUUGUACAAAAACUAAGCCGAGCGUGUCAUAGUCCCUCGCUCUCACCUUUGGACUCUCUGGAAAAGGAAACAAAUGGCUGUUUCUUUGUUUUCAUUCUUCUUUUAGAUUACAGACUGAUCCGUCAGUCUCCUAGACCAGCUUUCCUCUGCAUGGCUGAGGUACAUGCCCAGGAGCAUGCAGAAGUUUCCUGAUAAAAGAGGACGGAUUGACCUGUCUCCAAAUAGGUGUCCUUAUCCAAAGUAAACCCACCUUCUGAAAAGACUGAAGCUGCAGAGGGUCUGCAUAAUAACUCCGCUUCUGACAAAGCACUUUUCCAUGACAGAGCUCAAAACACUUUCUAAAAGAAGCCCCAGGAUGACAUCUCAUUCCUGUGACAGUCUUGCUCUGAGCUUUACUCACUCACUCUGGGCUGAGUGAUAGUCUCCUCAGCGCUCUCCCAUCCUGAAAGGAAGGAAAUGAAGAAAGAAAAGAAUACCUUCUAUGCUGAACCACCUGCCUGAAGACACAAAGGAGAUGUGUGUCUUAGGAAAACCUGGUGCUUCUACUAUAAACAAAGCAACAUGUGAAGGACUUCAAACACAUUGCAUGGCAAGAGUAACAAAAUCAGAAACUUUAAAAAACACUCAUAAAUAAAAUUAUAUUGCUGGUCCUGAAGGCUCACCCAAAUGUAUCUGGCUUUUGGAUCCCCUCAGCUGAUCGUGGCAAGAACAGGCCACAGUAACAGGUGAAAUUAAAGCUGAAAAAGGUGAUGCUCUUUCGCUUUAGUUUUGAUUGCCUCAAAAUGCAUCUAUGAGAGGACAGUGUUUAGGGAAUGUUCAAACUUGCAUUCAUUGGUCAGGAUUUACCUCAUGACUUUAGACGUGUGGAAGCUGGUUGGCUAAGGCUGUGCCUACACCAGCAUUUUGGUGAUGGGCAGCAGCAUGGUUUUGAAGUGAAUCCUCUGAUCAUCAUCCCUUAGUGCACACUGGUUUUGUUUCCAGAGCAGUUUCAGUGGGCUGAAGCUGGAUUCCUUCAGAGGGAAAUGAGACCAGAAGCUCUCCUUCCAAGACCAAGUGCUUUCCAGCCCCUCCUGGGGACAUAAAAGUGCUAAUCCUGGACUGUCCUUUGGACACCUCUGAACCACAAGUAGGAGCUCAAGCAAGCCCCCUGAACUGCAUGCAGUGCCAGUGUUGGGCCCUGACCACCAAAGUUGCUUUGGUCUCCUGUUCUGUUCCUGUUGCAUCGAGACACUUGCAAAUGCUGAUACAGCCCAGCUCUUGGCUGACCACCUCAAAUGCUCCUUUAUGGGCAGUGGUAGUAAGGAAGUGAAGAUAAAUCAUCUUCCUUAGUUGAGAUAGCUAUCCCAGGAAAAGAUAAAUGGAAAGGGAAACUAGCUUAGAUGUACACAACGAAAUAUGGUAUCCUGAGUGAAGACAGUCAAUCUCCAUCCCACAUGCACAGUUCUAGAUGUACUCAGCAAUAACUGAGCAACCAGCUGCAGACUCGUUGCAUGAAGGAACAAUGAAGAAGGAACAAUGCUGCAGCCUUAUGUGGCAGGAGGGGACAUGACCCUCAGGGGAACCUGUGCUCAGGGUCUCAUCUUGGGACCCCACACACAACUGUGUCACAAGCUUUAGGCAGGACUUGUAGAACAGAAUGUACCUGGGAACAAGAAAGGACUUCCCAGUUUCUAGCAUGGUAAAGGAUCUGCCCAUUAGUGAUGCCUCCUGCAAAUUCAACCCCUGGAAGCCUCAGAGGGAGUGCUGCACUUCUCUCUCCAAGUUCCCUACAGCUCUCUACAUUCUACUCAAAAAAAAACAAACAAAAAAAUCCCUCGAAGAAACAAAGUUUUUUAUCUAAUUAAGAACAUAUAGUACCUAACUGCUUCAAUAUAACUUAUUUUAUAGAAACUAAAUAGAAAUUAUUCUAUAUGAAUAUCAUAAUAACAGACAGAAUAAAAUUUGUCUUUUCUCUUCCCUUUAAAGUUUACUGCUGUGUUUCAAGUUGAGUGAAGUAGUUUUAUAGUUUUAUUUCUCCUAUGACUAGUUGUAUUCUGUUUGAGAACUUUUACAUUAUCCAUUUUCUAUAGCUCCAAGAACUCACUGUAGCAGUUGCCAAAUAUGUAAAUGUUGCAGCAAUUACACUUUCACUGCCCAUGAAAAAUGGCCUCGUAAGGUUUUGAAUGGAUGCAGUUCUUUCGUGCUGAAAGUAUUUUUAAAAAUCCGGGAAAAUAAUUGUUGUUAUCCCUUACUAUAGUAGUGGUUAAUAUACACUCUAAAUAUUAAAGUUUAAUAUUAAAAAGAUAUUAGAUAUUUGAUUGAUUAUUUUAUAAAAAACAUUCAUUUUCUGUUCUCAGAGGAAGACUGAAGCCAACCAGAAAUACAUCAAUGAUUUCGUCAUCUAUCAAAGAUUUAUUAGAUACUGUAUUUCACAAAGAAAACCUUUUUGUCACAUAUGCUUGACUAAUCUAUUAAACAGGCAUGACUUCAAAGGAUACGUAGGUGCAAUAACCCGUUCACACAGAACAAGUGGCAGGACUGGGACAUAACACUUGCAAAUGUAAAGAAAGUGGCAUAAACAUAUGCUACAGAAAGGAGAAAUAUACAUGCAUGGCAAAACGCAAAGUCAACCGAAUUUGUGUUCUGGCUAUGCGUAGCUGCAUACCAGUUCUGGCUAUAAAUUUUUUAAUAGAUAUACUGCUCUGUCAAGAUCAAAAGUUUCUGAGGAAUGUGCUGAUUUUAAAAACAUUUUGUUUCCAAAGUGAAUGACAAGAUACAUGCACUUUUGAGUUUUGCCACAAAAAAUUAUAUUGGAUUUGACACUUUAUAUAUUGGAAUAUAAAGAUUAAUAUCUGAAAUAAAAGGAACUGAAAUCUACAGUUUCCCUGACCUAAAGCCAUUUUUAACAGGUUGGUUUACAGAACAUACUUUUGUUCUCAUUCUGACUUCAGUCAAAAUUAAUUUCAUUAUAUUCAAAUGUUGCAGAAGAUUUUAAUAUUGACAGGUUUAGUCACACAGGCAUUGAAGCAUUUCUAUUUUAAUAAUGUCUUUUCAUCAUCCCCAGGUGAUGUGUGGUGAGCAAGCAAAAUAAGGAAGCAUUGGCCUAGGUGAUAGCAUUUUGUUUCCAACUGCAAUACGCAGCAUACAUGACGAUUAUACUUUCUUCUCUGUCAUGGGAGUUUAUGUGCUAUAAAAUACAAUUUUAAAGUGUACAUGGUACUAUUCUAACUCACAAACAUAAUAUCAGAUAUGACAGAGUGGCCUAAUCAUUAAAUCGUGCAUUGUUCUAGGGAAAAUAUUUACAUGCUUGAAAAUUAAAUUCUUCCUGUUCACAUUGUUGCUUGGUCUCCUGCAUUUUUUAAUACUUUGCUGUUAAAAUACUUUCUAUCAUUUCUUGAACUCCAUUUAAUCUAGGGUCCUGAGCACUGAGAAUUGCAUGAUCCUUUCACCUUUGCACUCAGGGUGAAAAGCAGAAAAGUGAAUUACUCUUGCAGUAACAUGAAGCGUGUUGGUGUGGCCAACACAAUGUGUUGUUUGCCCAUGCAAAAGGAGGAUCAUGGUGAGGACAGUGAGAUUUAGUAGCUUCGGCUAACAGCACAGCUUUCAUGAACCUUGACAUUACCCUUUCUGGCCUGAGGCGAAACAAUUUCAAAAUAGAUGAAAUUAAUUAAAACACUAGGGCUCCAAAAUCCAUAUUGAUUUCCUGUUCAAUAACAUAGUCUGCAUAAGUGAUCAAUAUUUGCACUUCUUCAUUUUUGAAAGUGUUUCUUUUUAGAUACUGU
Molecule: long non-coding RNA, 4542 nt
Organism: Columba livia (rock pigeon)
Lineage: Eukaryota; Metazoa; Chordata; Aves; Columbiformes; Columbidae
Exons: 4
Source: RefSeq, a predicted model, not a curated record